CCUACGGGUGGCAGCAGUCGAGAAUCAUUCACAAUGGGCGAAAGCCUGAUGGUGUGACGCCGCGUGGAGGAUGAAGGUCUUCGGAUUGUAAACUCCUGUCAUGUGGGAGUAAAGCCGGGCGAGUCACUGCGCGCCGGUCUGAGAGUACCACAAGAGGAAGAGACGGCUAACUCUGUGCCAGCAGCCGCGGUAAUACAGAGGUCUCAAGCGUUGUUCGGAAUCACUGGGCGUAAAGGGUGCGUAGGCCGCACGGCAAGUCAGAUGUGAAAGCCCGGAGCUCAACUCCGGAAUGGCAUCCGAUACUGCCGUGCUCGAGGACUGGAGAGGAGUCUGGAAUUCACAGUGGAGCAGUGAAAUGCGUAGAUAUUGUGAGGAACACUAGUGGCGAAGGCGAGACUCUGGACAGUUCCUGACGCUGAGGCACGAAGGCCAGGGGAGCA
Molecule: ribosomal RNA, 440 nt
Filed under: uncultured bacterium
Lineage: Bacteria
Description: bacterial SSU rRNA
Rfam family: Bacterial small subunit ribosomal RNA
Source: RNAcentral